UUACGGCCACAUCACGUUGAAACACCGGUUCCCGCACGAUCACCGAAGUUAAGCAACGUCCAGCAAGGUCAGUAUCGAGAUGGAUGUCCUCUUAAGAAUUGCAAUGUGCUGUA
This is a non-coding RNA of Acanthosepion pharaonis, 113 nucleotides long. Lineage: Eukaryota; Metazoa; Mollusca; Cephalopoda; Sepiida; Sepiidae. The record is from the annotation of a GenBank genome assembly.